Molecule: transfer RNA, 71 nt
Filed under: Marmota monax (woodchuck)
Lineage: Eukaryota; Metazoa; Chordata; Mammalia; Rodentia; Sciuridae
Description: tRNA.Ala
Source: RNAcentral
GAGGUUGUGGUUCAGAGGUAGAGUGCUCACCUAGCAUGUGUGAGGCACUGGGUUCGAUCCUCAGCACCACA